Calliphora vicina (urban bluebottle blowfly) is the source of this 886-nucleotide long non-coding RNA. RefSeq lists it as uncharacterized. Lineage: Eukaryota; Metazoa; Arthropoda; Insecta; Diptera; Calliphoridae. The record is from RefSeq and is a predicted model, not a curated record. The transcript has 2 exons.
CGACGGACAAUUUGCAGGAUGAUUAGCAGGGAAUUGGAAAUUGAAACCAGGAAGAUUGGGUGUACGAGUUGAAUAACGAUCAGGCAUCAACAUUAUGAACAUUUCCUACAUUGCGAAUGCGGUUGUUGUUGUUGGGAAAAUUAUUGGGAGUACUUCCCGUUUGAUUUGAGGCAACCACACGGGACAGAUUCUCUACAGCCUUGGCUAAAUCACCGAUGUUCUUUUUAAUAUCUACCAUCUCGUCCUGCACCAUUUUGCGGACUUUAUCUUCUAGAGAUCUUUGUACCAUCAUGGCUUCAUCUACCACCAGGUUUCUGACACCUGGUGCUAACCCCUCAUCAUUGCCUUCACAACUAACUACCGGAUUUGACACUACUGCUUCCCCCGGGGCUCCUGCUAUUAUCGUCCCAGAAAGGUCAGUAAUCUGGGACACAACAUUGCUCCCAUUGGAAUUUGGAUUACCUGAUAUAUUCAUUCUGUACGUUCUUCUUUGUUUAGGUUCUGUAUGGAUUGUGGAUCUAUUCAAAUCAAAAUCUGGAUUUCUAUUUCGUUUUCUAUUUUUUUGUAUUGCGAUUGAUGUACUUGCUUCUAUUUCACUUUGCCUAUUGUAUUUUCUAGUUUGAUUUCUAGUAUUAACAUUCAUACCUUUAACAUCUAAUCAUACACAAAAUUUACUAGACUAUUCACUAACGCUAAAAAAUAUAAACAAAUAUUGUAUAGGAUUUUAAAAAAUAACGAUAUGUAUGUAUACGAAAAACUAACAAACAAAAUUCAAACAAUUUUGCAAAAGCAAUAAUUUAAAAAAUAAUUUUCUAACGAUUUUAAACAAAAAAAAAACUUUAAACAAAAUAAACUAUACGUUAUAAUAAAAAAAUUGUAUACCUAA